GGUGGCUCAGUGGAAGAGUGCUUGCCUUGCAUGCAUGAGACCCUGGGUUCCAUUCCUCAGCACCA
RNAcentral lists this transfer RNA (65 nucleotides) under Dipodomys ordii (Ord's kangaroo rat). It matches the Rfam family "tRNA". From Rfam's summary of the family: Transfer RNA (tRNA) molecules are approximately 80 nucleotides in length. Lineage: Eukaryota; Metazoa; Chordata; Mammalia; Rodentia; Heteromyidae. The record is from Rfam by way of RNAcentral.